GGAAUCGCUAGUAAUCGUGGAUCAGAAUGCCACGGUGAAUACGUUCCCGGGCCUUGUACACACCGCCCGUCACACCAUGGGAGUGGGUUGCAAAAGAAGUAGGUAGCUUAACCUUCGGGAGGGCGCUUACCACUUUGUGAUUCAUGACUGGGGUGAAGUCGUAACAAGGUAACCGUAGGGGAACCUGCGGUUGGAUCACCUCCUUACCUGAAAGAAGC
RNAcentral lists this ribosomal RNA (218 nucleotides) under Salmonella enterica subsp. enterica serovar Chester. Its description in RNAcentral is "partial 16S ribosomal RNA". It matches the Rfam family "Bacterial small subunit ribosomal RNA", at positions 1328 to 1533 of the family's 1533-position model. Lineage: Bacteria; Pseudomonadati; Pseudomonadota; Gammaproteobacteria; Enterobacterales; Enterobacteriaceae. The record is from RNAcentral.